RNAcentral lists this ribosomal RNA (347 nucleotides) under uncultured bacterium. Its description in RNAcentral is "partial 16S ribosomal RNA". It matches the Rfam family "Bacterial small subunit ribosomal RNA", at positions 338 to 696 of the family's 1533-position model. The record is from RNAcentral.
CCUACGUGAGGCAGCAGUCGAGAAUCAUUCACAAUGGGGGAAACCCUGAUGGUGCGACGCCGCGUGGGGGAAUGAAGGUCUUCGGAUUGUAAACCCCUGUCAUGUGGGAGCAAAUUAAAAAGAUAGUACCACAAGAGGAAGAGACGGCUAACUCUGUGCCAGCAGCCGCGUUAAUACAGAGUUCUCAAGCGUUGUUCGGAAUCCCUGGUCGUAAAGCGUGCGUAGGCUGUUUCGUAAGUAGUGUGUGAAAGGCGCGGGCUCAACCCGCGGACGGCACAUGAUACUGCGAGACUAGAGUAAUGGAGGGGGAACCGGAAUUCCCGGUGAAGCAGUGAAAUGCGGAGAUA